RNAcentral lists this ribosomal RNA (492 nucleotides) under uncultured bacterium. Its description in RNAcentral is "partial 16S ribosomal RNA". It matches the Rfam family "Bacterial small subunit ribosomal RNA", at positions 29 to 507 of the family's 1533-position model. The record is from RNAcentral.
AACGAACGCUGGCGGUAGGCCUAACACAUGCAAGUCGAGCGGCAACACCGUAACAGGUUGCUCUUGCGGGAGGCGCGUGGCGGAAGGGUGACGUAUACAUCGGAUACUACUUUUUCGUGGGGGGUAACGUAGGGAGACUUACGCUAGUACCGCAUACGACCUACGGGUGACAGCAGGGGAUCUUCUGACCUUGCGCGAUGGUAUGGGCCGAUGUCGGAUUAGCUAGUUGGCGGGUUAAAGGCCUAGCAAGGCGACGAUGGGUAGCGGGUCCGAGAGAAUGUUUCGCCACAUGGGAACUGAGACAGGGCCCAGACUCCUACGGGAGGACGCAGUGGGGAAUAUUGGACAAUGGGGGAAAGCCUGAUCCAGCCAUACCGCGUGAGUGCAGAAGGACCUCGGGUUGUAAAGCCCUGUUGUUGGGAAAGAAAAGCAGCAGUUUAAGCCGCGGCGGUACUGACGGUACCAAAAGAGGAAGCACCGGCUAACUUCGUG